RNAcentral lists this ribosomal RNA (484 nucleotides) under uncultured bacterium. Its description in RNAcentral is "partial 16S ribosomal RNA". It matches the Rfam family "Bacterial small subunit ribosomal RNA", at positions 30 to 507 of the family's 1533-position model. The record is from RNAcentral.
AUUGAACGCUGGCGGCAGGCCUAACACAUGCAAGUCGAGCGGAUGAAGGGAGCUUGCUCCUGGAUUCAGCGGCGGACGGGUGAGUAAUGCCUAGGAAUCUGCCUGGUAGUGGGGGAUAACGUCCGGAAACGGGCGCUAAUACCGCAUACGUCCUGAGGGAGAAAGUGGGGGAUCUUCGGACCUCACGCUAUCAGAUGAGCCUAGGUCGGAUUAGCUAGUUGGUGGGGUAAAGGCCUACCAAGGCGACGAUCCGUAACUGGUCUGAGAGGAUGAUCAGUCACACUGGAACUGAGACACGGUCCGGACUCCUACGGGAGGCAGCAGUGGGGAAUAUUGGACAAAGGGCGAAAGCCUGAUCCAGCCAUGCCGCGUGUGUGAAGAAGGUCUUCGGAUUGUAAAGCACUUUAAGUUGGGAGGAGGGGCAGUAAGUUAAUACCUUGCUGUUUUGACGUUACCAACAGAAUAAGCACCGGCUAACUUCGUG